GACGAACGCUGGCGGCGUGCUUAACACAUGCAAGUCGAACGGAAAGGCCCCUUUGGGGGUACUCGAGUGGCGAACGGGUGAGUAACACGGGAGUAACCUGCCCUUGACUUCGGGGUAACUUCAGGCAACUGGGGCUAAUACCGGAUAGGAAUCCUUGCUGCAUGGUGGGGGUUGGAAAGCUUCGGGGGUUUUGGCUGGACUCGCGGCUUAUCAGCUUGUUGGUGGGGUAGUGGCUUACCAAGGCCUUGACGGGUAGCCGGCCUGAGAGGGCGACCGGCCACACUGGGACUGAGAUACGGCCCAGGCUCCUACGGGAGGCAGCAGUGGGGAAUAUUGCACAAUGGGCGGAGGCCUGAUGCAGCAACGCCGCGUGCGGGAUGACGGCCUUCGGGUUGUAAACCGCUUUCAGCAGGGGCGAAGCUUGUGGUGACGGUACCUGCAGAAGAAGCACCGGCUAACUACGUG
This 465-nucleotide ribosomal RNA is filed under the name uncultured bacterium. RNAcentral describes it as "partial 16S ribosomal RNA". It matches the Rfam family "Bacterial small subunit ribosomal RNA", at positions 28 to 507 of the family's 1533-position model. The record is from RNAcentral.